Molecule: ribosomal RNA, 494 nt
Filed under: uncultured bacterium
Lineage: Bacteria
Description: partial 16S ribosomal RNA
Rfam family: Bacterial small subunit ribosomal RNA
Source: RNAcentral
GACGAACGCUGGCGGCGUGCUUAACACAUGCAAGUCGAACGGUGAAGCGCCUUCCUUUUUGGUGGGUGUGGAUGAGUGGCGAACGGGUGAGUAACACGUGAGUAACCUGCCCCCUUCUUCUGGAUAACCGCAUGAAAGUGUGGCUAAUACGGGAUAUUCUGGGUCUGUCGCAUGAUGGGUCUGGGAAAGAUAUUGUUUCGGUGGGGGAUGGGCUCGCGGCCUAUCAGCUUGUUGGUGGGGUGAUGGCCUACCAAGGCGGUGACGGGUAGCCGGCCUGAGAGGGUGGACGGUCACACGGGGACUGAGACACGGCCCAGACUCCUACGGGGGGCAGCAGUGGGGAAUAUUGCACAAUGGGCGCAAGCCUGAUGCAGCGACGCCGCGUGAGGGAUGGAGGCCUUCGGGUUGUGAACCUCUUUCGCCAGUGAAGCAGGCCUGCCUCGUUUGUGGGUGGGUUGACGGUAGCUGGAUAAGAAGCGCCGGCUAACUACGUG